GUGCACCAGGCGCGAAACCUCCGCAAUACACGAAAGUGUGACGGGGCCAUCCCGAGUGCCGUCCGCUGAGGACGGCUUUUCCCCAGUGUACAUAGCUGGGGGAAUAAGGAGAGGGCAAGCCUGGUGUCAGCCGCCGCGGUAAUACCAGCUCUCCGAGUGGGUGGGGACGCUUAUUGGGCCUAAAGCAUCCGUAGCCAGCUAGGCAAGUCCUACCGUUAAAUCCAACGAUUCAAUC
This 235-nucleotide ribosomal RNA is filed under the name uncultured microorganism. RNAcentral's name for it is "partial 16S ribosomal RNA". It matches the Rfam family "Archaeal small subunit ribosomal RNA", at positions 330 to 564 of the family's 1478-position model. The record is from RNAcentral.